This 253-nucleotide ribosomal RNA is filed under the name uncultured bacterium. RNAcentral's name for it is "partial 16S ribosomal RNA". It matches the Rfam family "Bacterial small subunit ribosomal RNA", at positions 524 to 776 of the family's 1533-position model. The record is from RNAcentral.
UACGAAGGGUGCAAGCGUUACUCGGAAUUACUGGGCGUAAAGGGCUCGUAGGCGGCCAACUAAGUCAGACGUGAAAUCCCUCGGCUUAACCGGGGAACUGCGUCUGAUACUGGAUGGCUUGAGGUUGGGAGAGGGAUGCGGAAUUCCAGGUGUAGCGGUGAAAUGCGUAGAUAUCUGGAGGAACACCGGUGGCGAAGGCGGCAUCCUGGACCAAUUCUGACGCUGAGGAGCGAAAGCCAGGGGAGCAAACGGG